GGCUCAGGAUGAACGCGGGCGGUAUGCUUAACACAUGCAAGUCGAACGGGGUACUUUCGGGUACUUAGUGGCGGACGGGUGAGUAACGCGUGAGAAUCUGCCUUCAGGUUCGCACAACAGCUGGAAACGGCUGCUAAUACCGGAUGUGCCGAGAGGUGAAAGCUUUAGUGCCUGAAGAUGAGCUCGCGUCUGAUUAGCUAGUUGGAGUGGUAACGGCACACCAAGGCAACGAUCAGUAACUGGUCUGAGAGGAUGACCAGUCACACUGGGACUGAGACACGGCCCAGACUCCUACGGGAGGCAGCAGUGGGGAAUUUUCCGCAAUGGGCGCAAGCCUGACGGAGCAAUACCGCGUGAGGGAGGAAGGCUUUUGGGUUGUAAACCUCUUUUAUCAGGGAAGAAGUUCUGACGGUACCUGAUGAAUCAGCAUCGGCUAACUCCGUGCCAGCAGCCGCGGUAAUACGGAGGAUGCAAGCGUUAUCCGGAAUUAUUGGGCGUAAAGGGUCCGCAGGUGGUUGGUCAAGUCUGCUGUCAAAGCGUGGAGCUUAACUCCAUACAGGCGGUGGAAACUGAUUGACUAGAGUUCGGUAGGGGUCACGGGAAUUCCCAGUGUAGCGGUGAAAUGCGUAGAUAUUGGGAAGAACACCGGCGGCGAAAGCGCGUGACUGGGCUGAGACUGACACUGAGGGACGAAAGCUAGGGGAGCGAAAGGGAUUAGAUACCCCUGUAGUCCUAGCUGUAAACGAUGGAUACUAGGUGUUGCGCGUAUCGACCCGUGCAGUGCCGUAGCUAACGCGUUAAGUAUCCCGCCUGGGGAGUACGCACGCAAGUGU
Molecule: ribosomal RNA, 833 nt
Filed under: uncultured bacterium
Lineage: Bacteria
Description: bacterial SSU rRNA
Rfam family: Bacterial small subunit ribosomal RNA
Source: RNAcentral